GACGAACCGUGCGAACGUUGUUCGGAUUCACUGGGCUUAAAGGGCGCGUAGGCGGGUCAGCAAGUCCGGGGUGAAAGCUUUCGGCUCAACCGGAAAAGGGCCUUGGAUACUGCUGGUCUGGAGGAAGGUAGGGGCGUGUGGAACUUCCGGUGGAGCGGUGAAAUGCGUAGAUAUCGGAAGGAACGCCGGUGGCGAAAGCGACACGCUGGACCUUUUCUGACGCUGAGGCGCGAAAGCCAGGGGGGCAAACGGG
Molecule: ribosomal RNA, 253 nt
Filed under: uncultured bacterium
Lineage: Bacteria
Description: partial 16S ribosomal RNA
Rfam family: Bacterial small subunit ribosomal RNA
Source: RNAcentral